GACGAACGCUGGCGGCGUGCCUAAUACAUGCAAGUAGAACGCUGAAGCGAGGAGCUUGCUCUUCUUGGAUGAGUUGCGAACGGGUGAGUAACGCGUAGGUAACCUGCCUUGUAGCGGGGGAUAACUAUUGGAAACGAUAGCUAAUACCGCAUAACAAUGGAUGACACAUGUCAUUUAUUUGAAAGGGGCAAUUGCUCCACUACAAGAUGGACCUGCGUUGUAUUAGCUAGUAGGUGAGGUAAUGGCCCACCUAGGCGACGAUACAUAGCCGACCUGAGAGGGUGGUCGGCCCAACUGGGACGGGGGCACGGCCCAGGCUCCUACGGGAGGCAGCAGUAGGGAAACUUCGGCAAUGGGGGCAAGGCUGACCGAGCAACGCCGGGGGGGGGAAGAAGGGUCUCGGGUCGUAAAGGUCGGUUGUAAGUGAAGAACGGGUGUGAGAGUGGAAAGUUCACACUGUGACGGUAGCUUACCAGAAAGGGACGGCUAACUACGUG
RNAcentral lists this ribosomal RNA (497 nucleotides) under uncultured bacterium. RNAcentral describes it as "partial 16S ribosomal RNA". It matches the Rfam family "Bacterial small subunit ribosomal RNA", at positions 28 to 507 of the family's 1533-position model. The record is from RNAcentral.